Molecule: non-coding RNA, 20 nt
Filed under: Arabidopsis thaliana (thale cress)
Lineage: Eukaryota; Viridiplantae; Streptophyta; Magnoliopsida; Brassicales; Brassicaceae
Source: RNAcentral
GAAGAUUAGGCUUCAUCGGA